GAUUAAUUUAUGCUUAACCACUGAUGAACAGUGUUGACAAAACAUCUCCGCUUAUUAUCUGAUG
This 64-nucleotide small nucleolar RNA is filed under the name Arabidopsis thaliana (thale cress). RNAcentral's name for it is "partial small nucleolar RNA snoR16-2". The record is from RNAcentral. Lineage: Eukaryota; Viridiplantae; Streptophyta; Magnoliopsida; Brassicales; Brassicaceae.